This 549-nucleotide ribosomal RNA is filed under the name uncultured Bacteroidota bacterium. RNAcentral describes it as "bacterial SSU rRNA". It matches the Rfam family "Bacterial small subunit ribosomal RNA", at positions 772 to 1329 of the family's 1533-position model. Lineage: Bacteria; Pseudomonadati; Bacteroidota. The record is from RNAcentral.
ACAGGAUUAGAUACCCUGGUAGUCCACGCCGUAAACGAUGGAUACUAGCUGUUGGGGGCAACUUCAGUGGCUAAGCGAAAGUGAUAAGUAUCCCACCUGGGGAGUACGUUCGCAAGAAUGAAACUCAAAGGAAUUGACGGGGGCCCGCACAAGCGGUGGAGCAUGUGGUUUAAUUCGAUGAUACGCGAGGAACCUUACCAAGGCUUAAAUGUAGAUUGACAGGUUUGGAAACAGACUUUUCUUCGGACAAUUUACAAGGUGCUGCAUGGUUGUCGUCAGCUCGUGCCGUGAGGUGUCAGGUUAAGUCCUAUAACGAGCGCAACCCCUGUUGUUAGUUGCCAGCGAGUCAAGUCGGGAACUCUAGCAAGACUGCCAGUGUAAACUGUGAGGAAGGUGGGGAUGACGUCGAAUCAUCACGGCCCUUACGCAUUGGGCUACACACGUGCUACAAUGGACGGUACAGAGAGCAGCCACUACGUGAGUAGGAGCGAAUCUAUAAAACCGUUCUCAGUUCGGAUCGGAGUCUGCAACUCGACUCCGUGAAGCUGG